AAGCUCCAAAGAACUGUGCAACAUGAGUGAUCUUACAGACCAAAGCUAAAAGAAUCAAGGAAUUAUACAAGCAUCCUCUAAUUGGUUAAAGCAGCAGCACUGCCCUCCUUAUAUGGGGUAAAGAAGAUCUCUUGGGUGAUAUAACUUGUGCUGAGCAGGCAAGUGCUGACUUGGAGAGCUUCCUUUUCUGGGAGAGCUGAGCAGAGAUACCUAGAAUCAGUUUUUCAUGAUUUUGAGCUGAGCCUGUUCCUGUUAUCACUUGGCUUCACCGACUGCGCUCAACUGGGGAUGUGCUGGAGUUUGUCCUCUUGGAAAUGCAAUAGAAACUGACAAGAAGUGAGACGAGAAUUUAAGACAAGUCUUUCUCGAGGCUCCCGCAGAACCACCGGAGAUCGAAAACUAGGAACAGGUGCCGAGGAGAGCUGGCUGGUUCCUUAAAUAAGACAUGUGACUGCUUCCAGUUUUUGUCUGCUGCUACUGCUGCUAAGUCGCUUCAGUCGUGUCCGACUCCAUGCAACCCCAUAGACAGCAGCCCACCAGGCUCCCCCGUCCUUGGGAUUCUCCAGGCAAGAACACUGGAGUGUGUUGCCAU
Long non-coding RNA from Bubalus bubalis (water buffalo), 592 nucleotides. RefSeq lists it as uncharacterized. NCBI's taxonomy places the organism in Eukaryota, Metazoa, Chordata, Mammalia, Artiodactyla, Bovidae. The transcript is spliced from 4 exons. The record is from RefSeq and is a predicted model, not a curated record.